ACACAUGCAGUCGAGCGGUAGCACAGAGAGCUUGCUCUCGGGUGACGAGCGGCGGACGGGUGAGUAAUGUCUGGGAAACUGCCUGAUGGAGGGGGAUAACUACUGGAAACGGUAGCUAAUACCGCAUAACGUCGCAAGACCAAAGUGGGGGACCUUCGGGCCUCAUGCCAUCAGAUGUGCCCAGAUGGGAUUAGCUAGUAGGUGGGGUAACGGCUCACCUAGGCGACGAUCCCUAGCUGGUCUGAGAGGAUGACCAGCCACACUGGAACUGAGACACGGUCCAGACUCCUACGGGAGGCAGCAGUGGGGAAUAUUGCACAAUGGGCGCAAGCCUGAUGCAGCCAUGCCGCGUGUGUGAAGAAGGCCUUCGGGUUGUAAAGCACUUUCAGCGGGGAGGAAGGCGGUAAGGUUAAUAACCUUGUCGAUUGACGUUACCCGCAGAAGAAGCACCGGCUAACUCCGUGCCAGCAGCCGCGGUAAUACGGAGGGUGCAAGCGUUAAUCGGAAUUACUGGGCGUAAAGCGCACGCAGGCGGUCUGUCAAGUCGGAUGUGAAAUCCCCGGGCUCAACCUGGGAACUGCAUUCGAAACUGGCAGGCUAGAGUCUUGUAGAGGGGGGUAGAAUUCCAGGUGUAGCGGUGAAAUGCGUAGAGAUCUGGAGGAAUACCGGUGGCGAAGGCGGCCCCCUGGACAAAGACUGACGCUCAGGUGCGAAAGCGUGGGGAGCAAACAGGAUUAGAUACCCUGGUAGUCCACGCCGUAAACGAUGUCGAUUUGGAGGUUGUGCCCUUGAGGCGUGGCUUCCGGAGCUAACGCGUUAAAUCGACCGCCUGGGGAGUACGGCCGCAAGGUUAAAACUCAAAUGAAUUGACGGGGGCCCGCACAAGCGGUGGAGCAUGUGGUUUAAUUCGAUGCAACGCGAAGAACCUUACCUGGUCUUGACAUCCACAGAACUUAGCAGAGAUGCUUUGGUGCCUUCGGGAACUGUGAGACAGGUGCUGCAUGGCUGUCGUCAGCUCGUGUUGUGAAAUGUUGGGUUAAGUCCCGCAACGAGCGCAACCCUUAUCCUUUGUUGCCAGCGGUUCGGCCGGGAACUCAAAGGAGACUGCCAGUGAUAAACUGGAGGAAGGUGGGGAUGACGUCAAGUCAUCAUGGCCCUUACGACCAGGGCUACACACGUGCUACAAUGGCAUAUACAAAGAGAAGCGACCUCGCGAGAGCAAGCGGACCUCAUAAAGUAUGUCGUAGUCCGGAUUGGAGUCUGCAACUCGACUCCAUGAAGUCGGAAUCGCUAGUAAUCGUAGAUCAGAAUGCUACGGUGAAUACGUUCCCGGGCCUUGUACACACCGCCCGUCACACCAUGGGAGUGGGUUGCAAAAGAAGUAGGUAGCUUAACCUUCGGGAGGGCGCU
This 1410-nucleotide ribosomal RNA is filed under the name Klebsiella pneumoniae. RNAcentral describes it as "16S ribosomal RNA". It matches the Rfam family "Bacterial small subunit ribosomal RNA". Lineage: Bacteria; Pseudomonadati; Pseudomonadota; Gammaproteobacteria; Enterobacterales; Enterobacteriaceae. The record is from RNAcentral.